Molecule: ribosomal RNA, 356 nt
Filed under: uncultured bacterium
Lineage: Bacteria
Description: bacterial SSU rRNA
Rfam family: Bacterial small subunit ribosomal RNA
Source: RNAcentral
GUACGCUAUUCAGAGUUUGAUCCUGGCUCAGGACGAACGCUGGCGGCGUGCCUAACACAUGCAAGUCGAGCGAGAAUCUUGAAUCAGAUCCCUUCGGGGUGAAGAUUCAAGAGGAAAGCGGCGGACGGGUGAGUAACGCGUGAGGAACCUGCCCUUAACUGUGGGAUAACACAUCGAAAGGUGUGCUAAUACCGCAUAAACCGACAGUACCGCAUGGUACAAUCGGCAAAGAUUUAUUGGUUAAGGAUGGACUCGCGUCUGAUUAGAUAGUUGGCGGGGUAACGGCCCACCAAGUCGACGAUCAGUAGCCGAACUGAGAGGUUGAUCGGCCACAUUGGGACUGAGACACGGCCCAG